CUGUGUGUAGCUCAGUCUGGUAGAGUGUUAGCUUUGGAAGCUUAGGGUCGUAGGUUCAAAUCCUGCCACACAGA
RNAcentral lists this transfer RNA (74 nucleotides) under Vibrio phage vB_ValP_IME234. RNAcentral's name for it is "tRNA-Pro". It matches the Rfam family "tRNA". Rfam says of the family: Transfer RNA (tRNA) molecules are approximately 80 nucleotides in length. Their secondary structure includes four short double-helical elements and three loops (D, anti-codon, and T loops). Further hydrogen bonds mediate the characteristic L-shaped molecular structure. tRNAs have two regions of fundamental functional importance: the anti-codon, which is responsible for specific mRNA codon recognition, and the 3' end, to which the tRNAs corresponding amino acid is attached (by aminoacyl-tRNA synthetases). tRNAs cope with the degeneracy of the genetic code in two manners: having more than one tRNA (with a specific anti-codon) for a particular amino acid; and 'wobble' base-pairing, i.e. permitting non-standard base-pairing at the 3rd anti-codon position. RNAcentral also lists the same sequence under 4 other names. The record is from RNAcentral. Lineage: Duplodnaviria; Heunggongvirae; Uroviricota; Caudoviricetes.